GCGACCGUGGCCAAGCGGUAAGGCGGGAGGCUGCAACCCUCUGAUCCCCGGUUCGAUUCCGGGCGGUCGCU
Molecule: transfer RNA, 71 nt
Filed under: Candidatus Woesearchaeota archaeon
Lineage: Archaea; Nanobdellati; Candidatus Woesearchaeota
Description: tRNA-Cys
Rfam family: tRNA
About the family: Transfer RNA (tRNA) molecules are approximately 80 nucleotides in length. Their secondary structure includes four short double-helical elements and three loops (D, anti-codon, and T loops).
Source: RNAcentral